GACGAACGCUGGCGGCGUGCUUAACACAUGCAAGUCGAAUGAUGAAGCCGGAGCUUGCUCUGGUGAAUUAGUGGCGAACGGGUGAGUAACACGUGAGUAACCUGCCCUUGACUCUGGGAUAACUGCGGGAAACUGUAGCUAAUACCGGAUACGACCCUCGGAGGCAUCUCCUGGGGGUGGAAAGAAUUUCGGUCAAGGAUGGACUCGCGGCCUAUCAGCUAGUUGGUGAGGUAAAGGCUCACCAAGGCGACGACGGGUAGCCGGCCUGAGAGGGUGACCGGCCACACUGGGACUGAGACACGGCCCAGACUCCUACGGGAGGCAGCAGUGGGGAAUAUUGCACAAUGGGCGCAAGCCUGAUGCAGCAACGCCGCGUGAGGGAUGACGGCCUUCGGGUUGUAAACCUCUUUUAGUAGGGAAGAAGCGAAAGUGACGGUACCUGCAGAAAAAGCACCGGCUAACUACGUGCCAGCCGCCGCAGUAA
RNAcentral lists this ribosomal RNA (484 nucleotides) under uncultured bacterium. RNAcentral's name for it is "partial 16S ribosomal RNA". It matches the Rfam family "Bacterial small subunit ribosomal RNA", at positions 28 to 523 of the family's 1533-position model. The record is from RNAcentral.